Molecule: ribosomal RNA, 406 nt
Filed under: uncultured bacterium
Lineage: Bacteria
Description: partial 16S ribosomal RNA
Rfam family: Bacterial small subunit ribosomal RNA
Source: RNAcentral
AUUGAACGCUGGCGGCAGGCCUAACACAUGCAAGUCGAACGAGUGGCGGACGGGUGAGUAAUGUCUGGGAAACUGCCUGAUGGAGGGGGAUAACUACUGGAAACGGUAGCUAAUACCGCAUACCAUCGGAUGUGCCCAGAUGGGAUUAGCUAGUAGUUGGGGGAAGGGCUCACCUCGGCGUUGAUCCCUAGCUGGUCUGAGAGGAUGACCAGCCACACUGGAAAUGAGCAAAGGGCCAGACGCCUACGGGAGGCAGCAGUGUGGAAUAUUUCACAAUGGGCGAAAUCCUGAUGCAGCCAUGCCGCGUUUAUGAAGAAGGCCUUCGGGUUGUAAAGUACUUUCAGCGGGGAGGCGUUACCCGCAGAAGAAGCACCGGCUAACUCCGUGCCAGCAGCCGCGGUAAUAC